AGCAUAUGACUAUUUUUUGAAAGAUUACAUCUGAAAGACUGAGCCUAAACAAUUGACCAAGGAUCCUACCAUAAAACUAGCAGCUAUAAUAGAUAGGAUAGUUAAACACAAACUCUUUCCACCAAUAUGGAGACAUCAAAAGAUAACUGUGCUGGCAUGCCUCAGGCUCUUUGCUUAUAUCAAAACACAUAAAAGCCUGUUAAUAGCAAGAGCAGUUGUAGAGAAAAGAGAUGCAUCCCAUACAACUUAGAGAGGGUCAUAGACCAAUGAUGCACAAUGAUCUUAGGACAAAUAGACACUUCAAUAACCAUAGCAGCAGAUGCCUUAGCAAAAAUAUCUGAGACUGAAUGGCAACAUCAGGAUAUAAUGGUAACCUAUGACUUUGAGAGCCUAUGCCAGUCUCUAUGCCUAGAGCCAACAUGCGUGGCCUUUUAUAAAUUCUUAUUAGAAAACAUCCCUGAUGCCAAACAAGAGCACCAGUACUAAGGGCUAAACCCACCUGAUAUGCCACAAGUCAUAUUAUAAAUUUAAGGGAAGAUUUUACCAGCAGACUAGAGGGGACCCAAUAGGA
This 571-nucleotide long non-coding RNA is filed under the name Androctonus crassicauda. The record is from RNAcentral. Lineage: Eukaryota; Metazoa; Arthropoda; Arachnida; Scorpiones; Buthidae.